UGAUAAAAUUUUCAUCCAUUUUUCUGUUAAAAACUAGUGUGGCUGAUAGAAUAACUAGAGAGUUACAUGUGACGUGUACCUCAUUCUGACAUAUAGAGAUCAGCUUUUAAUAGUAAAAAUAGAUGAAAUUUUUGGUC
Molecule: microRNA precursor, 137 nt
Filed under: Gossypium arboreum
Lineage: Eukaryota; Viridiplantae; Streptophyta; Magnoliopsida; Malvales; Malvaceae
Description: MIR7502 microRNA precursor family
Rfam family: MIR7502 microRNA precursor family
Source: Rfam by way of RNAcentral